This is a non-coding RNA of Podarcis lilfordi (Lilford's wall lizard), 72 nucleotides long. The record is from the annotation of a GenBank genome assembly. NCBI's taxonomy places the organism in Eukaryota, Metazoa, Chordata, Lepidosauria, Squamata, Lacertidae.
GGAGAUAGCUCAGUCAGAAGAGCGUGAGACCCUUAAUCUCAGAGUCAUGGGUUCAAAUCCCACACUGGGCCA